Molecule: ribosomal RNA, 867 nt
Filed under: Octospora lilacina
Lineage: Eukaryota; Fungi; Ascomycota; Pezizomycetes; Pezizales; Pyronemataceae
Description: eukaryotic LSU rRNA
Rfam family: Eukaryotic large subunit ribosomal RNA
Source: RNAcentral
UGCGAGUGAAGCGGCAAAAGCUCAAAUUUGAAAUCUGGCGUCUUCUGGCGUCCGAGUUGUAAUUUGGAGGAGCGUCUUCGGGAGCCGGCACCGUCCUAAGUUCUUUGGAACAGGACGUCACAGAGGGUGAGAAUCCCGUGCUUGGACGGUUGUCUGUUCCCAUGCGAAGUGCUUCCGACGAGUCGAGUUGUUUGGGAAUGCAGCUCAAAAUGGGUGGUAAAUUUCAUCUAAAGCUAAAUAUUGGCGAGAGACCGAUAGCGCACAAGUAGAGUGAUCGAAAGAUGAAAAGCACUUUGAAAAGAGAGUUAAAAAGUACGUGAAAUUGUUGAAAGGGAAGCGCUUGAGACCAAACUCAGUCUUUGGUGAUCAACUGAGGCUUCUGUCCAGUGCACUUUGCCAUUGACUGGGCCAGCAUCGGUUCUGACGGCGGGAAAAACGGCCAGGGAAUGUGGCUCCUUUCGGGGAGUGUUAUAGACUUGGCCUUCAAUACUGCCAGUUGGGACCGAGGACCGCGCUUCGGCUAGGAUGCUGGCGUAAUGGUCUUAAGCGACCCGUCUUGAAACACGGACCAAGGAGUCUAACAUCUAUGCGAGUGUUCGGGUGGAAAACCCUUGCGCGUAAUGAAAGUGAACGGAGGUGGGAACCGCAAGGUGCACCAUCGACCGAUCCUGAUGUCUUCGGAAGGAUUUGAGUAUGAGCAUAGCUGUUGGGACCCGAAAGAUGGUGAACUAUGCCUGAAUAGGGUGAAGCCAGAGGAAACUCUGGUGGAGGCUCGCAGCGGUUCUGACGUGCAAAUCGAUCGUCAAAUUUGGGUAUAGGGGCGAAAGACUAAUCGAACCAUCUAGUAGCUGGUUCCUGCCGAAGUUU